RNAcentral lists this transfer RNA (72 nucleotides) under Spirochaetota bacterium. RNAcentral describes it as "tRNA-Asn". It matches the Rfam family "tRNA". From Rfam's summary of the family: Transfer RNA (tRNA) molecules are approximately 80 nucleotides in length. Their secondary structure includes four short double-helical elements and three loops (D, anti-codon, and T loops). The record is from RNAcentral. RNAcentral also lists the same sequence under 1 other name. Lineage: Bacteria; Pseudomonadati; Spirochaetota.
UCCGGUGUAGCUCAAUGGCAGAGCGGGUGGCUGUUAACCACUAGGCUGUAGGUUCGAGUCCUACCACCGGAG